GGAGACAAGAUGGCACACGGGGAAACACUUGUUCUAAUAACCAAUUUGUGGUUAACAGCCAGGGGUGGUCAGUACUAAAAAGGUGCAAACAAGGGGACCACACAGAGUUGGUUCAGUAAACGACCGGAGGUGUACGGACAGCCAAACAAAAGUGUAUUUAGACCAUCCAUUGUGCCCCCCCCUUAACCACAAGCCAGCAUACACAGUCUAAUCC
This is a non-coding RNA of Pelobates cultripes (western spadefoot toad), 214 nucleotides long. Lineage: Eukaryota; Metazoa; Chordata; Amphibia; Anura; Pelobatidae. The record is from the annotation of a GenBank genome assembly.